RNAcentral lists this ribosomal RNA (778 nucleotides) under uncultured Neocallimastigales. Its description in RNAcentral is "partial large subunit ribosomal RNA". It matches the Rfam family "Eukaryotic large subunit ribosomal RNA", at positions 24 to 616 of the family's 3401-position model. Lineage: Eukaryota; Fungi; Neocallimastigomycota; Neocallimastigomycetes; Neocallimastigales. The record is from RNAcentral.
ACGACUACAUAUCAGGCAUAUCAAUAAGCGGAGGAAAAGAAACUAACAAGGAUUCCCUUAGUAACGGCGAGUGAAGCGGGAAGAGCUCAAAUUAUUUGAAAUCUUCAAGGUUUUACCUUGAUGAAUUGUAGUUUAAAGAAGUGUUUUCUGUUGAAGUUUUGGUAAAAGUUCUUUGGAAUAGGACAUCAUAGAGGGUGAGAAUCCCGUAUUUGACCAUUAUUUUCAGCUGUGUGAUACACUUUCAAAGAGUCGGAUUGUUUGGGAAUGCAGUCCAAAAUGGGUGGUAAAUUUCAUCUAAAGCUAAAUAUUGGCGAGAGACCGAUAGCGAACAAGUACCGUGAGGGAAAGAUGAAAAGAACUUUGAAAAGAGAGUUAAACAGUACGUGAAAUUGUCAAAAGGGAAGCGUUUGACACCAGUGUUGUUUUCUCGAAAAUCAAUUAAAAAGAGCCUGGAUUUUGUGUUGUAUUGACUUUAUCAGCUUUCUGCACUCUUUUCUUGUCUUUUUUAAUGCACUUUUCGUUUAACAAGUCAACAUCAAUUUCUUUUGUUGUAUAAAGGGUCAUUGGAAGGUGGCUUUCUUUUCGGAGAAAGUGUUUAUAGCCUUUGGCCUCUGCAAUCGGAGAGAUUGAGGUCUGCAGCGUAGAUCCUUCGGGGUUAGAUACAUUUGUGCUAAGUUAUAGCCUUUCAUAGACAACUUGUUGACUAUGAUCAGUCAUGUAGCUUACUCGCUUAUGCUAUUUUACCUACGCUUAGGAUGUUGAGCGCAUGUCUCUCUCU